RNAcentral lists this ribosomal RNA (322 nucleotides) under uncultured eukaryote. Its description in RNAcentral is "partial 18S ribosomal RNA". It matches the Rfam family "Eukaryotic small subunit ribosomal RNA", at positions 1470 to 1796 of the family's 1831-position model. The record is from RNAcentral.
CCCUUAGAUGUUCUGGGCCGCACGCGUGCUACACUGAGUGGAUCAGCGGGUCAGGUGGCGCGAAAGCGUUUCCUAAUCUUUAAAUCCGCUCGUGAUGGGGAUUGACGGUUGCAAUUUUCUGUCAUGAACGAGGAAUACCUUGUAAGCGCGGGUCAUCAUCCCGCGCUGAAUACGUCCCUGCCCUUUGUACACACCGCCCGUCGCUCCUACCGAUUGAGUGGUCCGGUGAGGCUUUGGGAUCUGAGCGGAAAGAGCGUUUCGCUGUUUCUGCUCGGAAAACUCAGUCGAACCUUAUCAUUUAGAGGAAGGAGAAGUCGUAACA